UGAACGACUCUCGGCAACGGAUAUCUCGGCUCUUGCAUCGAUGAAGAACGUAGCGAAAUGCGAUACUUGGUGUGAAUUGCAGAAUCCCGUGAACCAUCGAGUCUUUGAACGCAAGUUGCGCCCUAGGCCUUCUGGUCGAGGGCANUUUUUUCUGGGCGUCACGC
Molecule: ribosomal RNA, 164 nt
Filed under: Aquilegia turczaninovii
Lineage: Eukaryota; Viridiplantae; Streptophyta; Magnoliopsida; Ranunculales; Ranunculaceae
Description: 5.8S ribosomal RNA
Rfam family: 5.8S ribosomal RNA
About the family: 5.8S ribosomal RNA (5.8S rRNA) is a component of the large subunit of the eukaryotic ribosome. It is transcribed by RNA polymerase I as part of the 45S precursor that also contains 18S and 28S rRNA. Functionally, it is thought that 5.8S rRNA may be involved in ribosome translocation.
Source: RNAcentral